UUGAAGAAAAACAGGUAGAAGUUGGAGACCGAAAAAAGGGAGAAAAAUUCAGGAAAAAGGGGGGGAAAAAAGGAAAGAAGGAAGGGAAGAAGAAAAGGGAAGAAGAGAAAAAGAGGUAAGGCUAAUCUCUUCAAGUUUGGGUUGAAUUUUUCCAUUUGUUUUAAUUGAUAAAGUAUGAAUUAUGUUAAAAUUCUAGGGUUUUAUUUUGGCUCGAAAUUUUCAGAUUUUUUUUAGAUGAAUACUACUUGGAGCUCAAGUUAUUGAUUCUUGAAUUUCUAUCUACAUUAAGGUAAGGAGAUGUCAAUUUUUUUGGGGAAACCCUAGAAUUCGAUUUUGGGAUUUUUGAUUAAUUAAUAGUGGAAAUGAUUAUAUAAAUGGAAUAUUUCACUUGGGAGUUGAUUUUAUGAAACAAAUGUAUAUUAAAUGGGUGGAAUUGUGGUUACUAGUUUCACUAGAUUGGAGAAUAAAAUUAGUUUUAAACUUGGGAAGAAGGUUUUGUUGAUGAAUUAAUUAUUAGUCAAGGGAUUAUAAAUUGUGAUUAGCUCUAAUUAAUAAAUGAAAAUUUGAGAAUUUAUUCAAGUGUCAAGAGAAUUUAAAUUAAGUUCUAUCAUUAGAUAUUAAGGUUUAUUGAUUAGAUAGAGGAUAAAUUGGUUAUUAAUAUCGUAUUUCAGGUGGUGACGAGGAAAUUGGAAACGUUUAUCAGGCAAUCUAGCUUGUAGCUCCUACCUUGUGAGUGGAUAAAA
RNAcentral lists this long non-coding RNA (743 nucleotides) under Olea europaea (common olive). RNAcentral's name for it is "long non-coding RNA (OEUR_LNC000544)". Lineage: Eukaryota; Viridiplantae; Streptophyta; Magnoliopsida; Lamiales; Oleaceae. The record is from RNAcentral.